Non-coding RNA from Ictidomys tridecemlineatus (thirteen-lined ground squirrel), 81 nucleotides. NCBI's taxonomy places the organism in Eukaryota, Metazoa, Chordata, Mammalia, Rodentia, Sciuridae. The record is from Rfam.
CCUUUAGUUUUGAGGUUGGUGUACUGUGUGUGAGUAUGCAUAGUUAUCACACACAGUCACUAUCUUCGAAAGUGAGGGUGC